UACGAAGGGGGCUAGCGUUGUUCGGAAUUACUGGGCGUAAAGCGCAUGUAGGCGGACAUUUAAGUCAGUGGUGAAAUCCCGGGGCUCAACCCCGGAACUGCCUUUGAUACUGGGUGUCUUGAGUGUGGAAGAGGUAAGUGGAAUUGCGAGUGUAGAGGUGAAAUUCGUAGAUAUUCGCAGGAACACCAGUGGCGAAGGCGGCUUACUGGUCCAUUACUGACGCUGAGGCGCGAAAGCGUGGGGAGCAAACAGG
This 253-nucleotide ribosomal RNA is filed under the name uncultured bacterium. RNAcentral describes it as "partial 16S ribosomal RNA". It matches the Rfam family "Bacterial small subunit ribosomal RNA", at positions 524 to 776 of the family's 1533-position model. The record is from RNAcentral.